UCCGGUUGAUCCUGCCGGAGGUCACUGCUAUUGGGAUUCGACUAAGCCAUGCGAGUCGAGAGGGUUCGGCCCUCGGCUGACGGCUCAGUAACACGUGGAUAAUCUGCCCUUAGGUGGAGGAUAAUCUCGGGAAACUGAGAAUAAUAUUCCAUAGAUCUAGGAUGCUGGAAUGCAUCUAGAUUGAAAGUUCCGACGCCUAAGGAUGGGUCUGCGGACUAUCAGGUUGUAGUCAGGGUAAAGACCUGACUAGCCUACGACGGAUAUGGGUUGUGAGAGCAAUAGCCCAGAGACGAUAUCUGAGACACGAUAUCGGGCCCUACGGGGCGCAGCAGGCGCGAAAUCUUCACAAUGUGCGAAAGCACGAUGAGGGGAUCCCAAGUGCUGGCACGUAAGUGUCAGCUGUUUCUUAGUCUAAAAAACUGAGAGAGUAAGGGCUGGGUAAGACGGGUGCCAGCCGCCGCGGUAAUACCUGCAGCUCAAGUGGUGGCCGCUAUUAUUGGGCCUAAAACGUCCGUAGCCUGUUUAGUAAAUGCUUGGGUAAAUUGUGUAGCUUAACUAUACGAAUACCGGGUAGACUGCUAAACUUGGGACCGGGAGAGGCUAGAGGUACUCCUGGGGUAGAGGUGAAAUUCUGUAAUCCUAGGGGGACCACCAGUGGCGAAGGCGUCUAGCCAGAACGGGUCUGACGGUGAGGGACGAAGCCCUGGGGCGCAAACCGGAUUAGAUACCCGGGUAGUCCAGGGUGUAAACGCUGCUUGCUUGAUGUUAGUUGGGCUCCGAGCCCAACUAGUGUCGGAGAGAAGUUGUUAAGCAAGCUGCCUGGGAAGUACGGUCGCAAGACUGAAACUUAAAGGAAUUGGCGGGGGAGCAC
Molecule: ribosomal RNA, 871 nt
Filed under: uncultured archaeon
Lineage: Archaea
Description: bacterial SSU rRNA
Rfam family: Archaeal small subunit ribosomal RNA
Source: RNAcentral